AACGAACGCUGGCGGCAUGCCUAACACAUGCAAGUCGAACGAGAUCCUUCGGGGUCUAGUGGCGGACGGGUGAGUAACGCGUGGGGACCUGCCCAGGGGUACGGAAUAACUACGGGAAACUGUAGCUAAUACCGUAUGAUGCCGAAAGGCCAAAGAUUUAUCGCCCUUGGAUGGACCCGCGUUGGAUUAGCUAGUUGGUGAGGUAAUGGCUCACCAAGGCGACGAUCCAUAGCUGGUUUGAGAAGAUGAUCAGCCACACUGGGACUGAGACACGGCCCAGACUCCUACGGGAGGCAGCAGUGGGGAAUAUUGGACAAUGGGGGGCAACCCUGAUCCAGCAAUGCCGCGUGAGUGAAGAAGGCCUUAGGGUUGUAAAGCUCUUUCAGAUGGGAAGAUAAUGACGGUACCAUCAGAAGAAGCCCCGGCUAACUCCGUGCCAGCAGCCGCGGUAAU
Molecule: ribosomal RNA, 453 nt
Filed under: uncultured bacterium
Lineage: Bacteria
Description: bacterial SSU rRNA
Rfam family: Bacterial small subunit ribosomal RNA
Source: RNAcentral